Molecule: transfer RNA, 57 nt
Filed under: Bos taurus (domestic cattle)
Lineage: Eukaryota; Metazoa; Chordata; Mammalia; Artiodactyla; Bovidae
Also listed under: 5 other names
Rfam family: tRNA
About the family: Transfer RNA (tRNA) molecules are approximately 80 nucleotides in length. Their secondary structure includes four short double-helical elements and three loops (D, anti-codon, and T loops).
Source: Rfam by way of RNAcentral
UGGCUCAGAUGGUAAAGCAUCUGCCUGGAAUGCAGAAGACCCAGAUUUGAUCCCUGG